RNAcentral lists this ribosomal RNA (774 nucleotides) under uncultured Neocallimastigales. RNAcentral describes it as "partial large subunit ribosomal RNA". It matches the Rfam family "Eukaryotic large subunit ribosomal RNA", at positions 18 to 616 of the family's 3401-position model. The record is from RNAcentral. Lineage: Eukaryota; Fungi; Neocallimastigomycota; Neocallimastigomycetes; Neocallimastigales.
UCAGACGAUGCGUCAUGCAUAUCAAUAAGCGGAGGAAAAGAAACUAACAAGGAUUCCCCUAGUAACGGCGAGUGAAGCGGGAAGAGCUCAAAUUUGAAAUCUUAAAGGGUUUCCCUUUACGAAUUGUAGUUUAAAGAAGUGUUUUCUGUUGAGGUUUUGGUAAAAGUUCUUUGGAAUAGGACAUCAUAGAGGGUGAGAAUCCGUAUUUGACCUUUACUUUCAACUUUGUGAUACACUUUCAAAGAGUCGGAUUGUUUGGGAAUGCAGUCCAAAAUGGGUGGUAAAUUUCAUCUAAAGCUAAAUAUUGGCGGAGAGACCGAUAGCGAACAAGUACCGUGAGGGAAAGAUGAAAAGAACUUUGAAAAGAGAGUUAAACAGUACGUGAAAUUGUCAAAAGGGAAGCGUCUGACACCAGUGUUGUUUUUCUGAAAAUCAAUUAAAGAACUGUUUAUGCUAAGUUGUUUAGACUUUAUCAGCUAACUGUUUAGUUUUGAGCUUUUCUUUAAUGCACUUUUCAGUUAACAAGUCAACAUCAAUUUCUUUUGCUGUAAAAAAGCUUGAGGAAGGUGGCUUGAGAUUCGUCUUAAGUGUUUAUAGCCUCUUGCCUAUGCAGUCGGAGAGAUUGAGGUCUGCAGCGUAGAUCCUUCGGGGCUAAAUGCAUUUGUGCUAAGUUAUAGCAUUUUAUAGACAACUUGUUGACUAUGAUUUGUCUUGUAGCUUACUCGCUUAUGUUAUUUUACCUACGCUUAGGAUGUUGAGCGCAUGUCUCUCUCU